UACGUAGGGUGCGAGCGUUGUCCGGAAUUACUGGGCGUAGAGAGCUCGUAGGCGGCUUGUCGCGUUGUCCGUGAAAAUUUACCGCUCAACGGUGAACUUGCGGGCGAUACGGGCAGGCUAGAGUACUGCAGGGGAGACUGGAAUUCCUGGUGUAGCGGUGAAAUGCGCAGAUAUCAGGAGGAACACCGGUGGCGAAGGCGGGUCUCUGGGCAACAACUGACGCUGAGGAGCGAAAGCGUGGGGAGCGAACAGG
Molecule: ribosomal RNA, 253 nt
Filed under: uncultured bacterium
Lineage: Bacteria
Description: partial 16S ribosomal RNA
Rfam family: Bacterial small subunit ribosomal RNA
Source: RNAcentral